UGGUGGGUAGUUUGACUGGGGCGGUCUCCUCCUAAAGAGUAACGGAGGAGCACGAAGGUUGGCUAAUCCUGGUCGGACAUCAGGAGGUUAGUGCAAUGGCAUAAGCCAGCUUGACUGCGAGCGUGACGGCGCGAGCAGGUGCGAAAGCAGGUCAUAGUGAUCCGGUGGUUCUGAAUGGAAGGGCCAUCGCUCAACGGAUAAAAGGUACUCCGGGGAUAACAGGCUGAUACCGCCCAAGAGUUCAUAUCGACGGCGGUGUUUGGCACCUCGAUGUCGGCUCAUCACAUCCUGGGGCUGAAGUAGGUCCCAAGGGUAUGGCUGUUCGCCAUUUAAAGUGGUACGCGAGCUGGGUUUAGAACGUCGUGAGACAGUUCGGUCCCUAUCUGCCGUGGGCGCUGGAGAACUGAGGGGGGCUGCUCCUAGUACGAGAGGACCGGAGUGGACGCAUCACUGGUGUUCGGGUUGUCAUGCCAAUGGCACUGCCCGGUAGCUAAAUGCGGAAGAGAUAAGUGCUGAAAGCAUCUAAGCACGAAACUUGCCCCGAGAUGAGUUCUCCCUGAGACUUUAAGUCUCCUGAAGGA
RNAcentral lists this ribosomal RNA (581 nucleotides) under Salmonella enterica subsp. enterica serovar Infantis. Its description in RNAcentral is "partial 23S ribosomal RNA". It matches the Rfam family "Bacterial large subunit ribosomal RNA", at positions 2259 to 2844 of the family's 2925-position model. Lineage: Bacteria; Pseudomonadati; Pseudomonadota; Gammaproteobacteria; Enterobacterales; Enterobacteriaceae. The record is from RNAcentral. RNAcentral also lists the same sequence under 2 other names.